RNAcentral lists this ribosomal RNA (497 nucleotides) under uncultured bacterium. RNAcentral's name for it is "partial 16S ribosomal RNA". It matches the Rfam family "Bacterial small subunit ribosomal RNA", at positions 28 to 507 of the family's 1533-position model. The record is from RNAcentral.
GAUGAACGCUGGCGGCGUGCCUAAUACAUGCAAGUCGAGCGAACGGACGAGAAGCUUGCUUCUCUGAUGUUAGCGGCGGACGGGUGAGUAACACGUGGAUAACCUACCUAUAAGACUGGGAUAACUUCGGGAAACCGGAGCUAAUACCGGAUAAUAUUUUGAACCGCAUGGUUCAAAAGUGAAAGACGGUCUUGCUGUCACUUAUAGAUGGAUCCGCGCUGCAUUAGCUGGUUGGUAAGGUAACGGCUUACCAAGGCAACGAUGCAUAGCCGACCUGAGAGGGUGAUCGGCCACACUGGAACUGAGACGCGGUCCAGACUCCUACGGGAGGCAGCAGUCGGGAAUCUUCCGCAAUGGGCGGAAGCCUGACGGAGCAACGCCGCGUGAGUGAUGAAGGUCUUCGGAUCGUAAAACUCUGUUAUUAGGGGAGAACAUAUGUGUAAGUAACUGUGCCCAUCUUGACGGUACCUAAUCAGGAAGCCACGGCUAACUACGUG